GAGGAAUAUUGGUCAAUGGGCGGAAGCCUGAACCAGCCAUCCCGCGUGCAGGAAGACGGCCCUAUGGGUUGUAAACUGCUUUUCCAGGGGGAGAAACUUUCCGAUGAAUCGGGAUUUGACGGUACCCUGGGAAUAAGCAUCGGCUAACUCCGUGCCAGCAGCCGCGGUAAUACGGAGGAUGCGAGCGUUAUCCGGAUUUAUUGGGUUUAAAGGGUGCGUAGGCGGAUCGAUAAGUCAGUGGUGAAAACCUGCAGCUUAACUGUAGACUUGCCGUUGAUACUGUUGGUCUUGAGUAUGGUCAAGGUAGGCGGAAUGUGUAAUGUAGCGGUGAAAUGCUUAGAUAUUACACAGAACACCGAUUGCGAAGGCAGCUUACUGGACCAUCACUGACGCUGAUGCACGAAAGCGAGGGGAUCGAACAG
Molecule: ribosomal RNA, 422 nt
Filed under: uncultured bacterium
Lineage: Bacteria
Description: bacterial SSU rRNA
Rfam family: Bacterial small subunit ribosomal RNA
Source: RNAcentral